RNAcentral lists this ribosomal RNA (490 nucleotides) under uncultured bacterium. RNAcentral describes it as "partial 16S ribosomal RNA". It matches the Rfam family "Bacterial small subunit ribosomal RNA", at positions 30 to 507 of the family's 1533-position model. The record is from RNAcentral.
AUUGAACGCUGGCGGCAUGCCUUACACAUGCAAGUCGAACGGCAGCAUGAUCUAGCUUGCUAGAUUGAUGGCGAGUGGCGAACGGGUGAGUAAUACAUCGGAACGUGCCCUGUAGUGGGGGAUAACUAGUCGAAAGAUUAGCUAAUACCGCAUACGACCUGAGGGUGAAAGUGGGGGACCGCAAGGCCUCAUGCUAUAGGAGCGGCCGAUGUCUGAUUAGCUAGUUGGUGAGGUAAAGGCUCACCAAGGCGACGAUCAGUAGCUGGACUGAGAGGACGAUCAGCCACACUGGGACUGAGACACGGCCCAGACUCCUACGGGAGGCAGCAGUGGGGAAUUUUGGACAAUGGGCGAAAGCCUGAUCCAGCAAUGCCGCGUGUGUGAAGAAGGCCUUCGGGUUGUAAAGCACUUUUGUCCGGAAAGAAAUGGCUCUGGUUAAUACCUGGGGUCGAUGACGGUACCGGAAGAAUAAGGACCGGCUAACUACGUG